UACGGGGGGAGCAAGCGUUGUUCGGAUUUACUGGGCGUAAAGGGCGCGUAGGCGGCCACCGCAAGUCGACUGUGAAAUCUCCGGGCUUAACCCGGAAAGGUCAGCCGAUACUGCGGGGCUAGAGUGCAGAAGGGGCAACUGGAAUUCUCGGUGUAGCGGUGAAAUGCGUAGAUAUCAGGAGGAACACCGGUGGCGAAGGCGGGUCUCUGGGCCGAUACUGACGCUGAGGAGCGAAAGCGUGGGGAGCAAACAGG
Molecule: ribosomal RNA, 254 nt
Filed under: uncultured bacterium
Lineage: Bacteria
Description: partial 16S ribosomal RNA
Rfam family: Bacterial small subunit ribosomal RNA
Source: RNAcentral